UUACAAUUAUGCAACCCUAACAAUUCCUUUCUCACGGGCAAUUCUUCCUCUCCCAUUAUAAUACCAUAAAUCUUCUCUCUCCAAUCCCUCUUCUCAUCCUCACGCAGUUCAGAGAAGAUGAAGUUAUUGCCAUGGUUGGGUCUCCAUCAUAAAUCAAAAAAUUACCCCAAAAAUGGAAAAACAUUGGAUGUUUGUGUGUAUUCUGUACUAGUGACCGUGCAUAGUCUUGUGGAGUUCAUUUGGGCAAAAACAAUGGCUUUCGUUGGAACCUUGCGAUGCCUACCAUCUAUUUGCCACUUAUCAAAUUCGAUUCCAUCUGUAUCUCCUUCUUCGCUCUCUUUCCAUUUUCCACUUUCAAUUUUCAAUAGCAAAAGAUCCCUCUUGUCCAUCAGGUCAGCUUCGGUGGAAGGAUAAAUUAGGUGAAUGGAUUUUCAAGAGUAGAAGUAGAGAUGCAUUUCAUGAGGGCUACAUGUUUUCUAUGCUUGUCACAGAAUAAUUCGAUGUUUGGCCUGAGAAAAAUGUCCGUCAGCGAAUAUGGGGGUUGGGGAAAGAUGGAAGUGGCAUGGUAGAGCUUGUCCAAGUUCAAGUCAUGGAUACUAGAGCGGUACUAGGGAAUCAGCCUAAGGAGUUGGAUCUAAAACUCGAAGUGUAGGCUAGAGAUAGUUAUAAAGCUGUUAUUCAAAAGAAGGCCAUUGCCCGAUUUCGGGAAAUAUCAUAGGCUAGUUGACACGAAAGAAGCUGUUUUUCUUUGUGCUCCGCCAUUUGUUAUCCCUUUUGAGUUAUGUUUGUAGAGACGAUGCAACAAGAACUCUUUAAUCCUUACUCCUUUUUAGUUAGGUGGUGUUGUAUUACAUUUUAAUGUUCAAGUGUAUUGAUUCAAAAAUUUGUAAUGAAAUUAUUAAUUUUUAUGCAAUUCCAAAAUUUGUUCACAAA
Molecule: long non-coding RNA, 933 nt
Organism: Olea europaea var. sylvestris
Lineage: Eukaryota; Viridiplantae; Streptophyta; Magnoliopsida; Lamiales; Oleaceae
Exons: 3
Source: RefSeq, a predicted model, not a curated record